AUGGAUGGGGCGCAGCCUGAUCCAGCCAUGCCGCGUGUGUGAAGAAGGCCUUUUGGUUGUAAAGCACUUUAAGCGAGGAGGAGGCUACUUGGAUUAAUACUCUAGGAUAGUGGACGUUACUCGCAAAAUAAGCACCGGCUAACUCUGUGCCAGCAGCCGCGGUAAUACAGAGGGUGCGAGCGUUAAUCGGAUUUACUGGGCGUAAAGCGUGCGUAGGCGGCUUUUUAAGUCGGAUGUGAAAUCCCUGAGCUUAACUUAGGAAUUGCAUUCGAUACUGGGAAGCUAGAGUAUGGGAGAGGAUGGUAGAAUUCCAGGUGUAGCGGUGAAAUGCGUAGAGAUCUGGAGGAAUACCGAUGGCGAAGGCAGCCAUCUGGCCUAAUACUGACGCUGAGGUACGAAAGCAUGGGGAGCAAACAGGAUUAGAUACCCUGGUAGUCCAUGCCGUAAACGAUGUCUACUAGCCGUUGGGGCCUUUGAGGCUUUAGUGGCGCAGCUAACGCGAUAAGUAGACCGCCUGGGGAGUACGGUCGCAAGACUAAAACUCAAAUGAAAUUGACGGAUCG
RNAcentral lists this ribosomal RNA (563 nucleotides) under uncultured bacterium. Its description in RNAcentral is "bacterial SSU rRNA". It matches the Rfam family "Bacterial small subunit ribosomal RNA", at positions 359 to 920 of the family's 1533-position model. The record is from RNAcentral.